RNAcentral lists this ribosomal RNA (253 nucleotides) under uncultured bacterium. RNAcentral describes it as "partial 16S ribosomal RNA". It matches the Rfam family "Bacterial small subunit ribosomal RNA", at positions 524 to 776 of the family's 1533-position model. The record is from RNAcentral.
UACAGAGGUCCCAAGCGUUGUUCGGAUUCACUGGGCGUAAAGGGUGCGUAGGUGGUUUGGCAAGUCUGAUGUGAAAGCCCCGGGCCCAACCCGGGAAUGGCAUCGGAAACUGCUCGGCUAGAGGGUUGGAGGGGGGACUGGAAUUCCCGGUGUAGCAGUGAAAUGCGUAGAUAUCGGGAGGAACGCCAGUGGCGAAGGCGAGUCCCUGGACAACCCCUGACACUGAGGCACGAAAGCUUGGGGAGCAAACAGG